Molecule: ribosomal RNA, 253 nt
Filed under: uncultured bacterium
Lineage: Bacteria
Description: partial 16S ribosomal RNA
Rfam family: Bacterial small subunit ribosomal RNA
Source: RNAcentral
GACGAAGGAUGCAAGCGUUAUCCGGAUUCAUUGGGUUUAAAGGGAGCGUAGGCGGUCCUAUAAGUCAGUGGUGAAAUCUCUCGGCUUAACCGAGAAAUUGCCAUUGAUACUGUAGGACUUGAGUACAGUUGCCGUUGGCGGAAUAUGACAUGUAGUGGUGAAAUACAUAGAGAUGUCAUAGAACACCGAUUGCGAAGGCAGCUAACGAAGCUGUAACUGACGCUGAGGCUCGAAAGUGCGGGGAUCAAACAGG